RNAcentral lists this small RNA (127 nucleotides) under Marmota monax (woodchuck). Lineage: Eukaryota; Metazoa; Chordata; Mammalia; Rodentia; Sciuridae. The record is from RNAcentral.
GUCGGAUGUGGUGGUGCAUGUCUGUGAUCCCAGUGGCUUAGGAAGCUGAGGCAGGAGGAUUGCUAGUUUGAGGCCAGCCUCAGCAAUUUAGCAAGGCCCUAAACAACUUAGUGAGAUUCUGUCUCAA